GAGGGUAUAACUCAGUGGUAAAGUUCAUGCUUAGCAUGCAGGAGGUCCUGGAUUCAAUUCCCAGUACCCCCC
This 72-nucleotide transfer RNA is filed under the name Camelus ferus (Wild Bactrian camel). It matches the Rfam family "tRNA". Rfam says of the family: Transfer RNA (tRNA) molecules are approximately 80 nucleotides in length. Their secondary structure includes four short double-helical elements and three loops (D, anti-codon, and T loops). Further hydrogen bonds mediate the characteristic L-shaped molecular structure. tRNAs have two regions of fundamental functional importance: the anti-codon, which is responsible for specific mRNA codon recognition, and the 3' end, to which the tRNAs corresponding amino acid is attached (by aminoacyl-tRNA synthetases). tRNAs cope with the degeneracy of the genetic code in two manners: having more than one tRNA (with a specific anti-codon) for a particular amino acid; and 'wobble' base-pairing, i.e. permitting non-standard base-pairing at the 3rd anti-codon position. Lineage: Eukaryota; Metazoa; Chordata; Mammalia; Artiodactyla; Camelidae. The record is from Rfam by way of RNAcentral.